This 384-nucleotide ribosomal RNA is filed under the name Triticum aestivum (bread wheat). RNAcentral describes it as "partial small subunit ribosomal RNA". Lineage: Eukaryota; Viridiplantae; Streptophyta; Magnoliopsida; Poales; Poaceae. The record is from RNAcentral.
AUGAACCAGGCUCUGGCGCAGAAGGAUCUGGACCUCGCAGCCGCGCAGAAAGCAGCCAAAGAGAAAACUGCACUAGCUAACCAGAAGCUAGCUUCAGUCGGCAAACUGGAGGAAGAGAAUGCCAAGCUGAAAACUGCCCUUGAUGAAGCCAACAGGGAGGCGACUCAUCUGAAGAAGGACAAGAACAAUCUGACCGAAAAGAUGGAAGGCAUUGCUCGCAAACGGGGCGAUUUGGAGAACUAUCUGGGAGGGCUUGCCAAGAAGAUGUUCAUCAUGCUUGAAGAAUUUUGCCAGAACUUCAAGGAAGAAACUGGGCGAGUUGAGACAAGCUUGGACCCCAUCCUCUCUCCUGUGAAGGACGAAGCUGCCAUGAAUGUGCUCUGA